UGUAUAUAUAGUGUGCUAUCAGACGGUAAGGGGUGUAUAUAUAGCGUGCUAUCAGACGGUAAGGGGUGUAUAUAUAGCGUGCUAUCAGACGGUAAGGGGUGUAUAUAUAGCGUGCUAUCAGACGGUAAGGGGUGUAUAUAUAGCGUGCUAUCAGACGGUAAGGGGUGUGUAUAUAUAGUGUGCUAUCAGACAGUAAGGGGUGUGUAUAUAUAGUGUGCUAUCAGACAGUAAUGGGUGUAUAUCAGACAGUAAGGGGUGUAUAUAUAGUGUGCUAUCAGACGGUAAGGGGUGUAUAUAUAGCGUGCUAUCAGACAGUAAGGGGUGUAUAUAUAUAGCGUGCUAUCAGACAGUAAGGGGUGUAUAUAUAGCGUGCUAUCAGACAGUAAGGGGUGUAUAUAUAACAUACAGCCUGUAAUGCAUUAAACAUGUAUUUUAAUA
This is a non-coding RNA of Pelobates cultripes (western spadefoot toad), 438 nucleotides long. NCBI's taxonomy places the organism in Eukaryota, Metazoa, Chordata, Amphibia, Anura, Pelobatidae. The record is from the annotation of a GenBank genome assembly.